Molecule: ribosomal RNA, 463 nt
Filed under: uncultured bacterium
Lineage: Bacteria
Description: partial 16S ribosomal RNA
Rfam family: Bacterial small subunit ribosomal RNA
Source: RNAcentral
GACGAACGCUGGCGGCGUGCUUAACACAUGCAAGUCGAACGGUGAACCUCUUCGGAGGGGAUCAGUGGCGAACGGGUGAGUAACACGUGGGCAACCUGCCCCCGGCUCUGGGAUAACUCCAAGAAAUUGGGGCUAAUACCGGAUGUUCACCGCUUCCCGCCUGGGUGGUGGUGGAAAGGGUUUCCGGCUGGGGAUGGGCCCGCGGCCUAUCAGCUUGUUUGUGGGGUAGUGGCCUACCAAGGCGACGACGGGUAGCCGGCCUGAGAGGGUGACCGGCCACACUGGGACUGCGAGACGGCCCAGACUCCUACGGGAGGCAGCAGUGGGGAAUAUUGCGCAAUGGGCGGAAGCCUGACGCAGCGACGCCGCGUGGGGGAUGACGGCCUUCGGGUUGUAAACCUCUGUCAGCAGGGACGAAGCGCAAGUGACGGUACCUGCAGAAGAAGCACCGGCCAACUACGUG